Molecule: long non-coding RNA, 100 nt
Organism: Thalassophryne amazonica
Lineage: Eukaryota; Metazoa; Chordata; Actinopteri; Batrachoidiformes; Batrachoididae
Exons: 3
Source: RefSeq, a predicted model, not a curated record
UAAGCCUGCACCCGAUUUAAACUAGGGGUGGGACGACAAGUUGUAAUAGUCGACUACGACUAGCUAACAUCCGACUAGUCGACUAUUUUUUAUUAAUCGA